CCAGACUCCUACGGGAGGCAGCAGUGAGGAAUAUUGGUCAAUGGGCGUAAGCCUGAACCAGCCAAGUCGCGUGAGGGACGACGGCCCUACGGGUUGUAAACCUCUUUUGCCGGGGGACAAACGGCGGCACGCGUGCCGUCCUGAGGGUACCCGGAGAAAAAGCAUCGGCUAACUCCGUGCCAGCAGCCGCGGUAAUACGGAGGAUGCGAGCGUUAUCCGGAUUUAUUGGGUUUAAAGGGUGCGUAGGCGGCAUUAUAAGUUAGUGGUAAAAUAUUGGGGCUUCACCUCACUACGCCAUUAAUACUGUAGAGCUAGAGAACAGACGAGGUAGGCGGAAUAAGUUAAGUAGCGGUGAAAUGCAUAGAUAUAACUUAGAACACCGAUAGCGAAGGCAGCUUACCAGACUGAGUCUGACGCUGAUGCACGAGAGCAUGGGUAGCGAACAGGAUUAGAUACCCGAGUAAC
RNAcentral lists this ribosomal RNA (465 nucleotides) under uncultured bacterium. Its description in RNAcentral is "bacterial SSU rRNA". It matches the Rfam family "Bacterial small subunit ribosomal RNA", at positions 331 to 794 of the family's 1533-position model. The record is from RNAcentral.